Molecule: ribosomal RNA, 253 nt
Filed under: uncultured bacterium
Lineage: Bacteria
Description: partial 16S ribosomal RNA
Rfam family: Bacterial small subunit ribosomal RNA
Source: RNAcentral
UACGAAGGGGGCUAGCGUUGUCCGGAAUUACUGGGCGUAAAGCGCACGUAGGCGGCCUAUUAAGUCAGGGGUGAAAUCCCGGGGCUCAACCCCGGAACUGCCUUUGAUACUGGUAGUCUCGAGUCCGGAAGAGGUGAGUGGAAUUCCGAGUGUAGAGGUGAAAUUCGUAGAUAUUCGGAGGAACACCAGUGGCGAAGGCGGCUCACUGGUCCGGUACUGACGCUGAGGUGCGAAAGCGUGGGGAGCAAACAGG